Molecule: long non-coding RNA, 1060 nt
Filed under: Gossypium barbadense (sea-island cotton)
Lineage: Eukaryota; Viridiplantae; Streptophyta; Magnoliopsida; Malvales; Malvaceae
Description: long non-coding RNA (GBAR_LNC005860)
Source: RNAcentral
AAUCUAAUAUAUAAAAUUACAUAAAAUUAAAAUUCAUAUAUAACAUUAUAUAUCGAAACAAAUUUCAUACUUAUAAAAUUUAUCUCAUCUAAAAAACUAAAAAUCUAACAAAUUUUUUUUUUACACUAAAUAAAGUGAUCCUUGGCAGGGAAGUUUGGCAUUUGGUUUCUAUAACAUUCCAAGCAUAAUUGCAAUGAAGUUCCUAACAUUUCUCGUAUGAUACAAACAACUACAAAUGGAAUAUUUGGUAAAGCAUCAACAUAUGGGAGAAUAUGACAUUGUCUCCUACAUAAAGUUUAUAUAAACUCUAUCUUAUGCAAUACAAAACAAUCAUCUACAAAUUUAAUAUAUCUUGUUAGUGCAAUGAGAAUGGGAAUUAAAGAUAUAUAUAUAUAUCGUACGGGACUUGUUUUGGUACCUACAUGGCCAAAAUCGCCUGAAGAAUGCAUUAAAGACUGCGUGAUACAGGAAUCAGUGGUGGAGACUGUCAAAGACACCCACCACACCAGCAUCUCCACAUUUUGCAAGUUUGGAUGUGCUGCCCCUCUGUGCCCAAAGCUUACCAUCAAAGAAAACCCCAGUUGUUAGAAUUGUGUGACCCAAAUUCUAAGAGAUUGCUUGCAAGUCAAGUUAAACAAAAAUAUAUUUUCUUUCUAGAAGAUUUAGUAUUUAUUAGUAUAAUAUAUUUAGCAUUUAUUAGUAUAGUUUAUUUGACUUACUAAUUUAGCCUAUAAAUAGGCUCAUUUACAAUAUUAGAAUUAAGAGACACCCAUUAGAUUAGAACUCAUAACACAUUCAGAGAAUUUUGUGUUUACAUUUGAGGGUUCUUUGUUUUUCGGGUUUUCGGGGUUUAGUUUUUAUCUCCAUUUUUUGUACUCUUCAUUCUUUUGCCAUUAUAGUAAAAUUAUCUUUGCCCGUGGUUUUUUAUCCUCUUUUGAGGGGUUUUUCCACGUUAAAUUUGUGUGUUCAUCUUCUCAAUUUCUUCUACUAUUUUUACUUGUUCGUUGCUUAUUCGGGACGAUCCUAACAAGUGGUAUCAGAGCUAGUUUAACUUUCAUAG